This 253-nucleotide ribosomal RNA is filed under the name uncultured bacterium. RNAcentral's name for it is "partial 16S ribosomal RNA". It matches the Rfam family "Bacterial small subunit ribosomal RNA", at positions 524 to 776 of the family's 1533-position model. The record is from RNAcentral.
UACGUAGGGACCGAGCGUUGUCCGGAAUCAUUGGGCGUAAAGAGCGUGUAGGCGGCCUUUUAAGUCCUGCGUGAAAUCCUGCGGCUCAACCGCAGACGGUCGUGGGAAACUGGAAGGCUAGAGUGCGGGAGAGGAGAGUGGAAUUCCCGGUGUAGCGGUGAAAUGCGCAGAUAUCGGGAGGAACACCUAUGGCGAAGGCAGCUCGCUGGGACGUUACUGACGCUGAGACGCGAAAGCGUGGGGAGCAAACAGG